Molecule: ribosomal RNA, 865 nt
Filed under: uncultured bacterium
Lineage: Bacteria
Description: bacterial SSU rRNA
Rfam family: Bacterial small subunit ribosomal RNA
Source: RNAcentral
AGAGUUUGAUCCUGGCUCAGAACGAACGCUGGCGGCAGGCCUCAAACAUGCAAGUCUAGGGGGUGUAGCAAUACAUCACCGGCGGACGGGUGCGUAACACGUGGGAAUAUACCUUUCGGUACGGAACAACUGCGGGAAACUGCAGCUAAUACCGUAUACGUCCUUCGGGAGAAAGUUUUUCGCCGAAAGAUUAGCCCGCGUUCGAUUAGCUAGUUGGUGAGGUAAUGGCUCACCAAGGCGACGAUCGAUAGCUGUUCUGAGAGGAAGAUCAGCCACACUGGGACUGAGACACGGCCCAGACUCCUACGGGAGGCAGCAGUUGGGAAUCUUGGACAAUGGGGGAAACCCUGAUCCAGCCAUGCCGCGUGAGUGAUGAAGGCCUUCGGGUUGUAAAGCUCUUUUACCCGGGAAGAUAAUGACUGUACCGGGAGAAUAAGCUCCGGCUAACUUCGUGCCAGCAGCCGCGGUAAUACGAAGGGGGCUAGCGUUGUUCGGAAUUACUGGGCGUAAAGCGUGCGCAGGCGGUUUUCCAAGUCAGUGGUGAAAGCCCGGAGCUCAACUCCGGAACUGCCAUUGAAACUGUUGAACUUGAGGACGAGAGAGGUGAGUGGAAUUCCCAGUGUAGAGGUGAAAUUCGUAGAUAUUGGGAAGAACACCGGUGGCGAAGGCGGCUCACUGGCUCGUUUCUGACGCUCAUGCACGAUAGCGUGGGGAUCAAACAGGAUUAGAUACCCUGGUAGUCCACGCCGUAAACGAUGAUUGCUAGCCGUUGGGGGCCAGCUUGCUGUUCAGUGGCGCAGCUAACGCAUUAAGCAAUCCGCCUGGGGAGUACGGCCGCAAGGUUGAAACUCAAAUGAAUUGACGG